RNAcentral lists this ribosomal RNA (454 nucleotides) under uncultured bacterium. RNAcentral's name for it is "bacterial SSU rRNA". It matches the Rfam family "Bacterial small subunit ribosomal RNA", at positions 29 to 524 of the family's 1533-position model. The record is from RNAcentral.
AGCGAACGCUAGCGGCGGGCCUAACACAUGCAAGUCGAGCGCAUACCUUCGGGUAUGAGCGGCGGACGGGUGAGUAACACGUAGGUAAUCUACCCUUUGGUGGGGAAUAACCCGGGGAAACUCGGGCUAAUGCCGCACGAGGUCUACGGAUCAAAGCCUUCGGGCGCCAGAGGAUGAGCCUGCGUUGCAUUACCUAGUUGGCGGGGUAACGGCCCACCAAGGGGACGAUGCAUAGCUGGUCUGAGAGGAUGAUCAGCCACACUGGGACUGAGACACGGCCCAGACUCCUACGGGAGGCAGCAGUGGGGAAUAUUGCGCAAUGGGGGAAACCCUGACGCAGCUACGCCGCGUGGGUGAUGAAGGCCUUGGGUUGUAAAGCCCUGUCGGGAGGGACGAAUACUGACGGUACCUCCCAAGAAAGCACGGCUAACUCCGUGCCAGCAGCCGCGGUAAU